Molecule: long non-coding RNA, 340 nt
Organism: Meriones unguiculatus (Mongolian gerbil)
Lineage: Eukaryota; Metazoa; Chordata; Mammalia; Rodentia; Muridae
Exons: 3
Source: RefSeq, a predicted model, not a curated record
AGCAUGGUGGCUCUGAGGGCCACCAAAUAAGGAAGGGCAUCAUUUUCCCUACUUAUCGGUGCGCAUGCCAGUGAGCCCAGCAAUGUGCCUCGUUCAUGGCAGCAUCCCCAAACAUGGUUUGGAAGAGAUGUAGGUGCUGCAUGGAGCUGAGAGUUGCCAUACGUCAUUUAUCUAGAAAAGAGGACAGCUGUCUUUUCCCAAAGCUCCGGUGACCCUGCCCCACCCAGUGUGACUAGCCCAGGCCCAGCUGCUCUGCCACUUGGACAGCCCAUUGCCCACAGGAGCCUCAUUCCGGGUGUUGCUGUGGCUCCGUGAAGCCCCCGAGAAAGCAGCCUCUGGC